RNAcentral lists this transfer RNA (68 nucleotides) under Suillia flava. RNAcentral describes it as "tRNA-Trp". It matches the Rfam family "tRNA". Rfam says of the family: Transfer RNA (tRNA) molecules are approximately 80 nucleotides in length. Their secondary structure includes four short double-helical elements and three loops (D, anti-codon, and T loops). Further hydrogen bonds mediate the characteristic L-shaped molecular structure. tRNAs have two regions of fundamental functional importance: the anti-codon, which is responsible for specific mRNA codon recognition, and the 3' end, to which the tRNAs corresponding amino acid is attached (by aminoacyl-tRNA synthetases). tRNAs cope with the degeneracy of the genetic code in two manners: having more than one tRNA (with a specific anti-codon) for a particular amino acid; and 'wobble' base-pairing, i.e. permitting non-standard base-pairing at the 3rd anti-codon position. Lineage: Eukaryota; Metazoa; Arthropoda; Insecta; Diptera; Heleomyzidae. The record is from RNAcentral.
AAGGCUUUAAGUUAAAAAAACUAAUAGCCUUCAAAGCUAUAAAUAUAAGAUAAAUCUUUUAAGCUUUA